Molecule: unclassified non-coding RNA, 104 nt
Organism: Loxodonta africana (African savanna elephant)
Lineage: Eukaryota; Metazoa; Chordata; Mammalia; Proboscidea; Elephantidae
Gene: 7SK
Rfam family: 7SK RNA
About the family: 7SK was discovered as an abundant small nuclear RNA in the mid-70s but a possible function has only recently been suggested. Two independent studies have found that 7SK RNA binds the CDK9/cyclin T complex (known as elongation factor P-TEFb).
Source: Ensembl
AUGUGAGGAUGAUCUGACUGUGACAUCUGUCAUCUUAGUGACUGCCAGGGUUAAUUUGGCUGGUAUGGCUGGCAAGGCAGCUGUCCCCUUCCUCCCUCACUGCU